This 253-nucleotide ribosomal RNA is filed under the name uncultured bacterium. RNAcentral describes it as "partial 16S ribosomal RNA". It matches the Rfam family "Bacterial small subunit ribosomal RNA", at positions 524 to 776 of the family's 1533-position model. The record is from RNAcentral.
UACGGAGGGUGCAAGCGUUAUCCGGAUUUACUGGGUUUAAAGGGUGCGUAGGCGGGCCCUUAAGUCAGUGGUGAAAGCUCCGAGCUUAACUCGGAAACUGCCAUUGGUACUAUAGGUCUUGAAUUCGGUCGAGGUUGGCGGAAUGUGUCGUGUAGCGGUGAAAUGCUUAGAUAUGACACAGAACACCGAUUGCGAAGGCAGCUAGCUAGACCGACAUUGACGCUGAGGCACGAAAGCGUGGGGAUCAAACAGG